Molecule: long non-coding RNA, 4253 nt
Organism: Condylostylus longicornis
Lineage: Eukaryota; Metazoa; Arthropoda; Insecta; Diptera; Dolichopodidae
Exons: 4
Source: RefSeq, a predicted model, not a curated record
UCAGUUUUCAUUUCGACGUUAUUUUGAACGGCGGUUUUUAAUGUUAGUUGCGCAAAACGAAAAGAAAAAAAAAGUUAACUCUUUUUUUCCUUUUGUAUUUUUGUACUUUUAUUGUUUAUGAAGUUUUGUUUUUGUCAUCGUAUGUUGUGGAAAAAUUCGUAUUUAAAAAAAAGAAGAAAAGUUUUGCAUUUACAGUGUUUUUGUUUUUUUUUUUUAAUGUAAGAAGAAAUUUUAUUUGUGUUUUUCAGUUUAAAAUUAAAAAAAUUAAUAAAUAAAUGAAAAAUUAAAAAUGUAGAAAAAAAAACCUAUUUUGGAAAAUGUUUGAAUUUUGUGUCUCAAAAGUGUUAAUUUUGAAAAUUAAAAUAAAUAUUGAGCGGCAAUUUUGAAAAUAUUGGAAGAUGAUUAAAAAAAAUAUUGAGUAAAAAUUAAAAGAAAAUUUAAAAAAAAUUAUAAAAAAAAUAUAUAAAAAAAUAGUGAAUAAAUUUCUAAAAAAAAAUUAAAAUAUAAAAAAAAUUAAGAAAAAUUAUUUUUAAAAUUUUUAGAAUUUUUUACUAAAUAAUUAAUUAAUUUAGUAAUAAAUUGAAAUUGGGAUUACCAGAUCAGACUGAUUGCAACUGUCACCAGUUUUCCGUUCUAUACAUACGAGAAUCGGCAUAAAAAAAGAUUAUCGUAGUCGCUUAUAUGAAGAGUACGUAGAGAAAAAAACAAGUAAAAUAAAAAGGAAGUCACUCAGUUGUCAAUCGGAAUAAAGUGCAACCAAUUAAUUUCUACUCCUCUAUUUUUUCCUCCAAUACAUUCCAAAUUCGCAAAAAGAAAAACUUGAUUUCGAAAAAAAAAUCAAUUAGAAAUAUCGAGAAAUACAAAAAAAAAGGAAAAUUAAUUUUUCUUAAAAACUUAUUUGGAGUGAAAUCAUAAAUUGGUUGGUUACUUGAACCAUCUAGUAGCCAGAAAACGAUUUAAUUACCAUCUUAUGUACAAGAUAUGGUAGUUAUUUUCAAUGAAAAAAAAUACCACUUAACUAAGUUGCAUUUUUUUUCUAUAAACAAUUAAGUCCAUAACCAUAUUAAGCAAAAAAAAAAAAACAAGAAGGAAAACAACACAAAAAAGAAACAAAAAAAAAUUAAGAAAAAUGAUUUUUUCAUAUUUUCCAUCCGGAAAAGUUACUUGCAAUAAAAUAAUAACCGCAGAUGGUACUACUUAUAUAAGGAAGCCCUGUUCCUGAUGAUUAAAACCAAACGCAAUCGAUUCGAUUAAAAAUUUGAAAGAAAAAAACUCAGAUAACAAACCGUAGUGAAUUUUUGAUUAUUUUCAAUAAAAUAAGAUUUUCAUUUGUUUAAAAUAAAAAAAAAAAAUAAAGAAAAAUAAAAAUAAAAGAAAAAUUAGAGUGAAAAUUUAUGAUAAAAAUGUUAAAAAGAAGAAGUGAAGCAUUAAAAUCAUACAAAAAAAAAGAAAAAAAGUAGGAAAAAUAAUUUUUUAAAAUAAAUAAAUAUGCGAUGUUUAUUUAAAAGAAAAAUGUGAAAAAAGUGAAUAAUUAUUAUUUUUAUACCGUAUAAUUUGUUGGGAAACUUUCACGAAUAUCACGAGUUUUAAUUAAUGACAAAAAAAAUAUUAAAAAAAUUUUUUUUUUCAAUUAAUUUUUUUCGUUAGCAACAUUUUAUUGUAUUUAAAAAAUAUUCUAUUAAAAUGGAUAAAAUUAACUCAACUGUCAGCGAUAGCAUCAAUAACAAUAACAAUAAUAACAAUAACAGCAGUAGUAACUUGAACAACAGUAAGAAUAACAGUAAUAAUGGUAGCAGUAAUAAUGUCAAUAAUAACAACAAUAAUGAAGGAUUACCAUUUUGUUUUAUAAGGGUGAGUGUUUAUUUGUUAUCUUACAAUUUGUAAUUCAAGAUUACAAAAUAUUUGUGAAAGGUUUGUGUUUUUCGUUUAAAAUUUUAAUUAACAGAAGAUUUUAUUUUUUACUUUUUGAAUUUUCUUAUAAAUUUUUGUUAUCGUAACGUAGUAAUUGUAUGAUAUAUCGUAAAUAUGAAACCAAGUACUAUAGGUCAUUAGAAAUAUUGUGAAAAAUGUCGUUAAUUAGUGUAGAAAUUAAAACUAUUGUAAAAAUCACAUAUUUUCGAGAAAAUUAUUAUUAGAUCUAAACGAAAAUAAUUAAAUAAUAACUGCGAGUAAAAAAUCUUAAAAUUUUCUAUGACAAUUUUUUCUUUUCAGAAAAUGAAUCCAAAUCGUAAGAGAUGAUCGUUAUUUUGGCUUUAGAAUACUAAAAAAUAAAUUCAAGCGUAAAUGCUCGGCGUAAAAUUUAAAUAAAUCUAAAUGACAUUAAAUUUAAGUGAAAGAAAUUUCAAGGAUGUAGUCCAAGUUUAAAUCAAAAUUCAACCAUUUUUCUUACAUUCUUACCAAAAAAAUUGUUCAAAUGCAAUUGAUGAAAUUUUAGUUGUUCUUGUAUAAAGAAAAGAAAAAUUAAAUUAUGUAUUCCGCACAUAUGUAUUUCGGGCCAUGUCUAUAAAGAAGGAUAUGAAAAUUCUUCAAAAUAAAAGCAUUAAAAACCUAUUUAAUCGCAAUCACAGAACAUUAACCAAAUUACUAUUCGAGUUAAUAAAACCUGUAUUGCCAAAAUGGUUUGAAAAAAUAUGCUAAUUUUACCCAAAAAACAUGCCUUAAUAUUUAACUUGUAAAAAAAUGAAAAUAGCUUCUUUCAGGGCUAAAUAAACAAAAUAACAUGUCAAUUAAGUUUCCAUUUGAGCACAUUAUAUAAAAUUAAACUCAUAUUUCUUAUCUUAAAUUAGUUUAACAAAUUUGAAGUAUUUCAAAGAUGUACACAAGCUUUUUCAAUAAAUUUACUUCCUGAAUAGAGUGCUUUUAUUAUUUUUAAUGAAAUUCAAAUGUCAAUUGAAACAGUUGUCAAACCAAAAUAUAUUAAAAGGUUGAACUGUGACAUUUUGACAUUUUUUCAAGACAAAAACAUUAUUUAGAAAAAUAUUAAGUACCUGUUCCUCCUAGAGUGAAAACCAAAAGCAAAAUAUUAAAUUUUUUAGUAGAAUAAUUUUUCAAUAAAAAUAUGCGUUCUUACCUCAAUUGGAAAAUUUCAAAAAAAAACAUGCAUUUUUCCACAAAAAUAUUCCACUUUGACAACACUGACACGUGCAUUAAAAAUUUUUAUAACCUGCUUAUUGUUAAAUUCUGUCCAGCUCGAGGAAAAAAAUUUUUUAAUUUUUAGGCCUUUAACUUUUUUAUUUGAUUACGUCAUCCAUCUGUUCUGCAGUUGCAUGAAGAAGUUUCCUUUAAAUUAAUAUUAUUAGUGUAAUAAGCAAUUAUUAGUAAAUUCAUAAUUAAAUUCUGCGUUCUACAUUUCCGCCCUUUGCAUUAUAAAAAACGGUAAUAAACCUAGUAUAUUGAUCCUCAUCACUCCAAAGAACAAGUUUUUGCAAGAAUUCUUAUUCUUUAAGGUUUUUAAGGGAGUUAAGGUUUUUUUCUGAUAAAGCUUUUAAACAAUUAUACCUGAUCCAAACCAGUUAAACCUAAUUUAAACAAUUAUACCUGAACGGGUCUAGUAAAACAUUUUUAUGGCGUUUCUUUAGUAAUUUUUACCAGCAUUUUUCUCGAAGAUUUAAGAGGAUCUUGCUUGAACUUUUGGCUUAUUGACAAAAAUUUUCCUUCAUAUUAUAAUUUUCCGCCUGAUGUUCCGAUUAAAAUAAAUUACAUUAUUUAAAAUCAGAUGAAUUGUAUUGUAUUGUCAAUUUUGGCGGAUUGAUCAGUAAAUAAUUUUACUAGAUUAUUUUUUUUUAGUUUCAAAAGUAGACCUUUUGAGGAAGUUUAUUCACAACGGACAAAAGAUUUACUUGUUUUAAAACAUCUAUUAAAAAAAAGAGGUUAUUUGUGUAUUCAUAUUUUGCCAUUACCUUAUACUAAACACUUAAAUAAACAAAUUUAGAUAUUUAUUAAAAAAACUUUUCGCUUAUAGUCAGUUUAUAAAUAAACAUGUAACUGUACAUUGAGACCAUUACAAGACAAUUUUAUUCCAUUUUAUAAAGCAAAUAUGCAAAAUUUACCACGCAACUAAUAUUCUCUCUAGGUAUUUAAGUACAAUAUACGGUACAGAAAUAUAUAGUUACACAAAUACAAAAUCGAACAAUAACAGAACCUUAAAUUUAAUAAUGUUCUUAAAACCUAAAUAACUAAUGAAUUUUGACCUGCAUUAAUAAUCAAAUAUCGAUUGAUUUACUUAGCUAUUCUUUUUUAUUAAAGAGCUAACA